Molecule: transfer RNA, 72 nt
Filed under: Camelus bactrianus (Bactrian camel)
Lineage: Eukaryota; Metazoa; Chordata; Mammalia; Artiodactyla; Camelidae
Also listed under: 2 other names
Rfam family: tRNA
About the family: Transfer RNA (tRNA) molecules are approximately 80 nucleotides in length. Their secondary structure includes four short double-helical elements and three loops (D, anti-codon, and T loops).
Source: Rfam by way of RNAcentral
GAGGGUGUAGCUCAGUGGUAGAGUGCACGCUUAGCAUGCACGAGAUCCUGGAUUCAAUCCCCAGUAUCUCCA